Molecule: long non-coding RNA, 840 nt
Filed under: Homo sapiens (human)
Lineage: Eukaryota; Metazoa; Chordata; Mammalia; Primates; Hominidae
Description: non-protein coding lnc-PABPC4L-6:1
Source: RNAcentral
GGGCAUAUGUCAUCAGGAUUCCUGAGGCUGUGUCAUGGGUGCACACCCUCAACCUUGGCAAAAUAAACUUUCUAAAUUAACUGAGACUUGUCUCAGAUUUUCUGGGUUCACAUUUUGGUAACCACAGGGGGAUUCUGAGUGGAGAUACCCCUGACCUUUGACAAAUAUCCUGUUGGUGCUUGGUACCAGCAUGAGCUAACUUUAUGGUUCAAACCAAUAGGACAAUUUGCCGUGCACCCCCUCCAGAGAAUCCCUGAGCUCCAAAAAUUUGGUUGAGAUCAAAAGUUUAUUUUGCUGUACAACUCCUCUUUUUGAGGGAGUUUUACUUGCUUCCAACAGGAAGGCAGGUUUUCUUGCUUCCAUGAUGAUGGAAGGCAGACAACUCCUUUAUGGAGUUUGAGCUUGCUUCCAACAGGGAAGAUGAGGUUUUUUUUUUCCUUCUUCUAGGAUGGUAGAGAGCGGUCUACAGCCUGAGACCCAUCACCAGCUAUUGCAACAGAGGCUACUCUUUGGUUUUCAAGAAAGAGUGUGGCUGCGCGUGGUGGCUCAUGCCUGUCAUCCCAACACUUUGGGACACCGAGGCGGGAGGAUCACGAGGUCAGGAGUUCAAGACCAGCAUGGACAACCUGGUGAAACCUCAUCUCUACUAAAAAUACAAAAAUUAGCUGGGCAUGGUGGUGCGUGCCUGUAAUCCCAGCUACUCAGGAGGCUGAGGCAGGAGAAUUGUUUGAACCGGGACCCAAGAGGUGAGGUUGCAGUGAACCAAGGUCAUGCCACAGCACUCCAGCCUGGGCUGCAGAGCAAGACUCCAUCACAAAAAAAAAAAAAGUGUAGUUUAAU